UCCCAGGAGCUCCCGCGGCCAGUGUCCAUUCCGUGUCGUGUUGCGCCUGCGCCGUCGGGGGGCGGCCUCGGCGUGAGGCGGCGGCCAGUGCCUUUUCCAGGGAACAGCAUCAUGAAAUAGCCAGAGCUGGUUUUCAAGGACACGAGUGACCGUACCCGGGCUUCGAUGGACGCCCAGCACAGCAACACGGUUAAGCUACAGAGCCAGAUGGGCGGAGACCUGUGACCCACCACUGCGCCGUGCAGCCUGCGUCUGGUUACUUCACCUGCCUAUGCCCCAGAAGGGUGUGGAUGAAAAUGCCUGCCUUGUGAAGAAUUCUCGGGCAUUACACAAACAUGAUACAUUGAAAGUACUGUUCUGGUGCCUGGUACCUGGGAAGCUGUCAGGGAACUCUACCCAUUGUCAUCACAUCAUCAUCACCAUGCAGCGGGCGCCCCUGACUUGGGGAGGGAUUGGCUCUAUGGGACACCCCGCCUUUCUGCAGGUGAAGGUAAUAUAGCUGUUUCUCCCAGUCCCUGGGUUUAAAAAGAUGGUCAGAAGCUGAGGUGAUUCGUGGAUGAGAGUUGACCUCCCUUGGCAGAGAUGGGAAUGAGACCAAAAGAAGGGUAAAAAAACAGUGAAACGAGAGCCUUACGUUUCAGUACUGUCGAGAUCCAGACGGCAAGGAGGAGGCAAGCCAGCCGGCGGGUCAGUGGGCACCGACAGAGGCACAGGGAGGAGAGGGAGAGAAGUAUUAGUGACGCCUCCUUCCUGGCUCACCCCACCCCGCUGGUGCUCGGAAGAGACCCCCCAAGGAAGAGAGGCGGACAUCUCUUCCCGAUUCCGUGGGAAAGGGUGGAUGCCGCUCCGUGACUCCAGAGACACGUUUAUCCAGAGGCUAGAAUCCCCGGGCGCCUCUUUCCAUGGGAUUUCAUUCUCCAGAGAUUAUUAGAAGAACAUGCCCUGACACGCCACUGUUCUCCUUUCUCCCCUGGGGGUCAGGAGACAGAAAGUUUGAGGAAGAAGCAAAUAGCUGCUUUUUGGUUUUCCUGAUUCAUUCAGGAGCCCUCCCAGCAAACACAACUCGAUAGGUUCUCAUGUUCUGGGGCGGUGGGCCUCCGUCCCCGUCCCCGAGCGAAGCCCACACGGCCAGCCCCGCGCCGGGCCGCCCUCGCCGCUCCCCGCGGGCCGUGGAGCCCGGGCCCCAGAGAUGGGGCGGCAGAGGGAGCGUUUCUCUCAGCCUGUGCCCUAAACUGAGAUGACCUAUCGAAGAUCCCCUUCUCUUUCUUGUUUCCGCUUCUUCCCAGCAUCCAAAAAUAUCCACGGCAACCACAGAAAAGAAAAAUAACUUACUUUUCACUGGAAAGUGCGGCGGAACCGGCGGUCAAGGGGGUCGGCGUGGGAGAAAGUGAGCAAGAGAGUGGGGUCAACACUGCAUUCGAUUCAGUUAUUCCUUCAUCAGAUAUCUAAAAUUUAUUUUAAACUUUUAAUCAUGACUUUUAAAUUAAGUCAACCCAAAUGGCCUGAAGUGAGUUAGGCCCCAGGAGGUGACCCCGGCCUUGCUUGGUUUGCAAACACAAGCAAAACUUCACUCGAGAUAUUACAUGGAAAUGCCCACAUUAGAGAAAAACAGAAUUUAAGCGCAGCCAGUCAGAAGCAGCCAACAAACGUCGGCAAUGAGAGACUCUGCAGUGGGACAGACCAAACAUGGCAGCUGCAGGGCUGUCACCAGCUAGCACAUCUUUGCUUUACCUCCGUUGUCCUGUAAACCCGCCCCCUUGCGUUCCCUUGGGGAGACCUUGGAGCUGCCUGACAUGAAUUGUUCUUUGCUCAAAUAAACUCUUUAAAGUUU
Molecule: non-coding RNA, 1831 nt
Organism: Microcebus murinus (gray mouse lemur)
Lineage: Eukaryota; Metazoa; Chordata; Mammalia; Primates; Cheirogaleidae
Source: RefSeq, a predicted model, not a curated record